UGUUGGUUGAAGAAAAUUGAUAGCAGUAUAGAUGACUUUACAUUAUGAGUCCGGCUAAUAUACUUUUAUGAAUAUUGGCUCUCUUAAACUCAUAAAUUUUCGGCCCUUAGAUUUAUUCCAUGAUCAUUUCCACCCGUUAGAUCAUACUAUUCAAUCAACUACCCACUCAACCUUAGAGGACCACUAUCAUUCUAAGUGGGGACUGCCAUCAUCCUAACCACACAUUCUAUCAAUUAACGGUUAAAAAUUUAUGAGUACAAAGGGUUCUAUACUUAUAAGAGUAUAGGAGCCCCAGCCUUACAUUAUUACUGAAUAUAUAUAUUUACUUGCUUUUCCGGUCAACAAAUCUGUUAACUAAUAAAACGGAGGAUAAGAACGUGUCGUUCAUCUUUUUCUUGAAAGAAAAACUAUUCAAAGGUUACAUGCAGAGACUCGAAUCUUUGACCUCGUGCGUGAAUCUCUCUCACUAUCAAUUACAAAAUAAACAAAAUACAAA
This 496-nucleotide long non-coding RNA is filed under the name Ananas comosus (pineapple). RNAcentral describes it as "long non-coding RNA (ACOM_LNC020784)". The record is from RNAcentral. Lineage: Eukaryota; Viridiplantae; Streptophyta; Magnoliopsida; Poales; Bromeliaceae.